UACGUAGGGUGCGAGCGUUAAUCGGAAUUACUGGGCGUAAAGCGUGCGCAGGCGGUUUUGUAAGCCAGAUGUGAAAGCCCCGGGCUUAACCUGGGAAUGGCAUUUGGGACUGCAAGGCUGGAGUGUGGCAGAGGAGACUGGAAUUCCUGGUGUAGCAGUGAAAUGCGUAGAUAUCAGGAGGAAUACCGAUGGCGAAGGCAGGUCUCUGGGCUGACACUGACGCUCAUGCACGAAAGCGUAGGGAGCAAACAGG
RNAcentral lists this ribosomal RNA (253 nucleotides) under uncultured bacterium. RNAcentral's name for it is "partial 16S ribosomal RNA". It matches the Rfam family "Bacterial small subunit ribosomal RNA", at positions 524 to 776 of the family's 1533-position model. The record is from RNAcentral.